GUCCUUAGUCUACCUAGUGUUUCUUCUAACUCUCAACUGUACACAGUGUCUAUCCUGGCUUACUACAGCUAUACAAAAUUGUGUAAUUAAAAAAAUGGGGACUGGCUUCCUUCUCACUUCCGCAAUCGAGAUGUGAGAUCGAUGAACAAAUCCUCGCUGCAGGGAAUAGUCACACCACCCAUUGGAUGGUCGAAGCCAAAUUCUUCCUCAGAUUGACUAAGCAAGUCUUGAAAUAAAGGUUCGCUCAAGAAUGAUAUCGGGAUCACAAAUCUCUUUUUCUGCAUCUCCCCAACAUACACAGCAAAAUGACCCUUGGGAAUAUCUCUAGUUGCAGAAGACUUCUUGAUCAUACGAAGAAUAGCCAUGAUCUCUUAUUUUAGUAUAGAUGAGAAAAAAAGAAGGAUUGUAAGGUUACCCAAAAGCAGAGAAAGCUUUG
Solanum stenotomum is the source of this 436-nucleotide long non-coding RNA. RefSeq lists it as uncharacterized. Lineage: Eukaryota; Viridiplantae; Streptophyta; Magnoliopsida; Solanales; Solanaceae. The record is from RefSeq and is a predicted model, not a curated record. The transcript has 3 exons.